UGCAUAGGAAUCUACCUAGUAGUAUAGGAUAGCCACUAGAAGUGGUGGGUAAUACUGUAUUAUCCCUGCGGGGGAAAGAUUUAUCGCUACAUGAUGAGCCUAUGUUAGAUUAGCUAGUUGGUGGGGUAAUGGCCUACCAAGGCAGUGAUCUAUAGCUGGUCUGAGAGGAUGAUCAGCCACACUGGAACUGAGACACGGUCCAGACUCCUACGGGAGGCAGCAGUGGGGAAUAUUGGACAAUGGGCGCAAGCCUGAUCCAGCUAUGCCGCGUGAGUGAGGAAGGCCUUAGGGUUGUAAAACUCUUUCAGUGGGGAAGAUAAUGACGGUACCCACAGAAGAAGUCCCGGCAAACUCCGUGCCAGCAGCCGCGGUAAUACGGAGGGGGCAAGCGUUGUUCGGAAUUAUUGGGCGUAAAGGGCAUGUAGGUGGUUUGGUUAGUUAAAGGUGAAAUGCCAGGGCUUAACCCUGGAGCUGCUUUUAAUACUGCCAGACUGGAGUCCGGGAGAGGAUAGCGGAAUUCCUAG
This 524-nucleotide ribosomal RNA is filed under the name uncultured Anaplasma sp. RNAcentral's name for it is "bacterial SSU rRNA". It matches the Rfam family "Bacterial small subunit ribosomal RNA", at positions 114 to 673 of the family's 1533-position model. Lineage: Bacteria; Pseudomonadati; Pseudomonadota; Alphaproteobacteria; Rickettsiales; Anaplasmataceae. The record is from RNAcentral.